GAAGGAAGCUUGCUUUCAUUUUAAACUUAGUGGCGGACGGGUGAGUAACGCGUGAGGAACCUGCCCUUCAGUGGGGAACAACAACUAGAAAUGGUUGCUAAUACCGCAUAAUGUCGGAGUGCCGCAUGACAUUCCGACCAAAGGAUUUAUUCGCUGAAGGAUGGCCUCGCGUCCGAUUAGAUAGUUGGUGAGGUAACGGCCCACCAAGUCUGCGAUCGGUAGCCGAACUGAGAGGUUGAUCGGCCACAUUGGGACUGAGACACGGCCCAGACUCCUACGGGAGGCAGCAGUGGGGAAUAUUGGGCAAUGGGCGAAAGCCUGACCCAGCAACGCCGCGUGAAGGAUGACGGUCCUCGGAUUGUAAACUUCUUUAAUUGGGGAAGAACAAAAUGACCUACCCAAAGAAUAAGUCACGGCUAACUACGUGCCAGCAGCCGCGGUAAUACGUAGGUGACAAGCGUUAUCCGGAUUUACUGGGCGUAAAGGGCGUGUAGGCGGUCUUGCAAGUCAGAAGUGAAAUUCCUGAGCUCAACUCGGGCGCUGCUUCUGAAACUGCAGGACUUGAGUGCUGGAGGGGAUAGCGGAAUUCCUAGUGGAGCGGUAAAAUGCGCAGAUAUUAGGAAGAACACCGGUGGCGAAGGCGGCUAUCUGGACAGUAACUGACGCUGA
Molecule: ribosomal RNA, 669 nt
Filed under: uncultured rumen bacterium
Lineage: Bacteria
Description: bacterial SSU rRNA
Rfam family: Bacterial small subunit ribosomal RNA
Source: RNAcentral